AUUGAACGCUGGCGGCAGGCCUAACACAUGCCAGUCGAGCGGAUGCAGGGAGCUUGCUCCUGGAUUCAGCGGCGGACGGGUGAGUAAUGCCUAGGAAUCUGCCUGGUAGUGGGGGAUAACGUCCGGAAACGGGCGCUAAUACCGCAUACGUCCUGAGGGAGAAAGUGGGGGAUCUUCGGAUCUCACGCUAUCAGAUGAGCCUAGGUCGGAUUAGCUAGUUGGUGGGGUAAAGGCCUACCAAGGCGACGAUCCGUAACUGGUCUGAGAGGAUGAUCAGUCACACUGGAACUGAGACACGGUCCAGACUCCUACGGGAGGCAGCAGUGGGGAAUAUUGGACAAUGGGCGAAAGCCUGAUCCAGCCAUGCCGCGUGUGUGAAGAAGGUCUUCGGAUUGUAAAGCACUUUAAGUUGGGAAGAAGAGCAGUAAGUUAAUACCUUGCUGUUUUGACGUUACCAACAGAAUAAGCACCGGCUAACUUCGUG
This 484-nucleotide ribosomal RNA is filed under the name uncultured bacterium. Its description in RNAcentral is "partial 16S ribosomal RNA". It matches the Rfam family "Bacterial small subunit ribosomal RNA", at positions 30 to 507 of the family's 1533-position model. The record is from RNAcentral.